GAUUGCAUCGGCGCGCACGCAAGAAGCCGUGCAUCGUACGGGCGUGUAUGUGUGUGUGUGUGUGCAUCCAGCUGCACAGCAUAAAAGAACUUUGAAGUCGUCUCUUGCUCAGCGUUUCUAGACAAAUCGAAACCCUACCCCCCCCCGAAACCCAGUUUUCCACCGCACGUGGUCGUACCCUCUCACGUGCCCCCCCCUCCUUGCUCUGAUAUGCUCCCCUUUCACCGAGCUGCGCGUGGCGUUAUGCUGGCGCCGGUGGGCAAUGCGGUUCUCCCUCUCCUGUUGCUGUUGCUGCAUUCCAGCUCGAUCAUCGUCACGGCUGCAACGUACGGGUCGAAGAUAGAGGCCGGGGAGACGGAGUGCUAUACCGAAGUCUUGGAGGCGGGCGGCACUCUGGGCUUUACCUUCCGCGUCACCGACGGCGGCGCCUUCGACGUCAACGCUGUGAUGAAGGUGCGCUUCACGCCGCCGGUGGGCAGGACCAUGGAUCUGAGCCGCUUCCACUACAACGCCCACUUUGCCGGGCUGCGGGACCGACAGCGCGAGACGGUGCUGAACACGUGGCAGCGCGCCACCGACGGCAGCUACAGCUACACGGCGCCGCCCAUCCUCAAGACCCGCCACGGGCUGCCAGAGGAGGUGUCUGUAUGCUUCGACAACAGCUUCUCCACCUUCUCGCCCAAGUGGGUGCGGUUCAAUAUCAUGAAGCGCGACGUGCUGGAGGUGGACCCAGACGCGGUGAAUAAGGUGGAAAGCGCAAUGGAGGAGGAGCUGCACCGCUACGGCACCAUCCUCUUCGGUCUCGCGCAGGAGGCGAACGCGCUGCAGCUUGUCGGUGAGUCGGACCGCGUGAAGUUGAACUCCCUGGCAAAGAUCAUGGCGGCAGGACUGGUGCUCAACGCCCUCGUGCUCCUGACCAUGGCCGCCUACCAGUACGUGUCGCUCUCCCGUUUUCUCGCUUGCCAGGUCCGGCGUGGCAAGUUCAGCAUCUCCACAACGUAGCGUGCGCACAGGCAGCGGGGCGCCCUCCUGUCCUCUGCUGCGUGUGCGUGAAUGUGUAUCAUCGUUGUCUGUGCUGGUGACGUCGGCCUUCUUUUUUCCCCUCCCCCCUCCCCCCUCCUCCCUAUCCCAUCUCCCUCCUCCUCGAUGUCCACUGCUGCCCUCCACCACCACCACCACCGAUGCUGUGAGAGCCGCGACACUUCAUCGGCGAUCCACUCUGCGGACAUCUUGUGUCCUUGGCGAGUGCCGCGUCUUCAAAAGCUGCGGCGCCGCGAGAAAUCCG
This 1285-nucleotide unclassified non-coding RNA is filed under the name Leishmania donovani. Its description in RNAcentral is "gene:LdHU3.31.4940(CDS-product:emp24/gp25L/p24_fa mily/GOLD_putative)". Lineage: Eukaryota; Euglenozoa; Kinetoplastea; Trypanosomatida; Trypanosomatidae. The record is from RNAcentral.